Ictalurus punctatus (channel catfish) is the source of this 684-nucleotide long non-coding RNA. RefSeq lists it as uncharacterized. Lineage: Eukaryota; Metazoa; Chordata; Actinopteri; Siluriformes; Ictaluridae. The record is from RefSeq and is a predicted model, not a curated record. The transcript has 3 exons.
UGGCUGUCGAUGUCCGACGGAGCAGGUGGGGAGUUGAGUGGAACUUCAGUGGCUAGUGGGCCAGGGAUGACUGGUUUGAGGCGAGAGACAUGGAAUGAUGGAGCUAUGUGGCUGUGUCUAGUUGUCUUUGGCCAUGUUGGUGGUGGUGCAUUCUGGGAAUUGGAGUCGCUGGUUUGCUGUGAUUUGAUGCCUUGUCUUGGAUCUUGGAGACAACUGGACAAAGCCUCCUGUCACGUUAUUCUCCUCGCUGCAUUCAGUGCGUAUUAACAGCCCGCAGCAUGAUUGCGCGCUCUUUCGGGUUUUCAUUGACCUUGACUUUACUUUUGACACGUGUGUGUUCUGUUAUGGUUUAUGUCCUGUCUCCGCCCCUGUAUUGUCAUUGGUUGAUUCCCUUACACGUCAUCAUUCUAAUCAGCUGUUUUGUUAUCCCCUUGAUUAUGUGUAUUAUUUAAAUUCCUUGUCUGUCUUUGUACAAAGGCGAAGUAUAUGUUCAGUUGCUGUUGUCUAUCUAUACCAAGCUGUUCUCUGUUAUAGUUUCUCUGGUUUUGAUUCUGUUUUGCCCUUGACUCUGAUUCUCUGCCUUACCUAUUCCAGUCUGUUUGCACUAUUCCCUGACCUUGCCUGUCUAAUGUUUUUGAUCUUUGCAUUACACUUUGGAUUGUUAUUCUCAUUAAAACUGGUUUA